This 245-nucleotide ribosomal RNA is filed under the name uncultured eukaryote. RNAcentral's name for it is "partial small subunit ribosomal RNA". It matches the Rfam family "Eukaryotic small subunit ribosomal RNA", at positions 907 to 1150 of the family's 1831-position model. The record is from RNAcentral.
AGAGGUGAAAUUCUUGGACCGUCGCAAGACGAACUACUGCGAAAGCAUUUGCCAAGAAUGUUUUCAUUAAUCAAGAACGAAAGUUAGAGGCUCGAAGGCGAUCAGAUACCGCCCUAGUUCUAACCAUAAACGAUGCUGACUAGCGAUCCGCCGGCGUUAAUCCCAUGACUCGGCGGGCAGCUUCCCGGGAAACCAAAGUCUCUGAGUUCCGGGGGAAGUAUGGUUGCAAAGCUGAAACUUAAAGG